UGACAUUCCAAUUUUCUCCCAAUUCUAUUGGAAGGUCAAUCUUAAAUGCUGUAUAGGAGGAUCUCAUUGAGAAGAUAUCAUUUGAGCAAAGAUGUAAAGCAAGGGAGGGAAUGAGUCAGUGGCUACAUAGCGAGAGUGUCCUAGGCAGAGGAAACAGCUUCUACAAAAGCCCUGAAGCAAGAGAAUGUUUGAAGUGUUCAAGAAUAAACAGGAGAUGCAGAAUGAAUGGAAUUGAGAGUGAGUGAGGCAGUCGGAUACAAGAGAGACUAAUAUGGGGCAGCACUGAAGACUGCUGACAGCAGCCACAUGAGUGAGCUCAGAGUGGACACAACAGCCCCUUCAGAGGCUGCAGGGAUGGCAGACAGCCUGACUGCAAUGUCGUGAAAGAUGCUGAGGCAGAACCAUGCAGCAAAGUCAUUCCCAGAUUCCUGACUCUCAGAAAAUGUGGUUUCUUGGGAGCCAUCAUUAAGGUGAAGAACAGAGAAGGCAUCCUAGCACCAGAGUUCCAGGCAGCCCCAAC
RNAcentral lists this long non-coding RNA (520 nucleotides) under Homo sapiens (human). RNAcentral describes it as "HSALNT0314054". Lineage: Eukaryota; Metazoa; Chordata; Mammalia; Primates; Hominidae. The record is from RNAcentral.